This 470-nucleotide ribosomal RNA is filed under the name uncultured organism. Its description in RNAcentral is "partial 16S ribosomal RNA". It matches the Rfam family "Bacterial small subunit ribosomal RNA", at positions 335 to 797 of the family's 1533-position model. The record is from RNAcentral.
ACUCCUGCGGGAGGCAGCAGUGGGGAAUUUUGGACAAUGGGCGAAAGCCUGAUCCAGCAAUGCCGCGUGAGUGAAGAAGGCCUUCGGGUUGUAAAGCUCUUUUGUCAGGGAAGAAACGGUGAAAGCUAAUAUCUUUUGCUAAUGACGGUACCUGAAGAAUAAGCACCGGCUAACUACGUGCCAGCAGCCGCGGUAAUACGUAGGGUGCAAGCGUUAAUCGGAAUUACUGGGCGUAAAGCGUGCGCAGGCGGUUUUGUAAGUCUGAUGUGAAAUCCCCGGGCUCAACCUGGGAAUUGCAUUGGAGACUGCAAGGCUUGAAUCUGGCAGAGGGGGGUAGAAUUCCACGUGUAGCAGUGAAAUGCGUAGAUAUGUGGAGGAACACCGAUGGCGAAGGCAGCCCCCUGGGUCAAGAUUGACGCUCAUGCACGAAAGCGUGGGGAGCAAACAGGAUUAGAUACCCCUGUAGUCCC